AGUGGCGAACGGGUGAGUAAAGUAUCGGAACGUGCCCAGUCGUGGGGGAUAACGUAGCGAAAGUUACGCUAAUACCGCAUACGAUCUAUGGAUGAAAGCGGGGGAUCGCAAGACCUCGCGCGAUUGGAGCGGCCGAUAUCAGAUUAGGUAGUUGGUGGGGUAAAGGCUCACCAAGCCGACGAUCUGUAGCUGGUCUGAGAGGACGACCAGCCACACUGGGACUGAGACACGGCCCACACUCCUACGGGAGGCAGCAGUGGGGAAUUUUGGACAAUGGGCGCAAGCCUGAUCCAGCCAUGCCGCGUGCAGGAUGAAGGCCUUCGGGUUGUAAACUGCUUUUGUACGGAACGAAAAGGUUUGGCCUAAUAAGCUGAGCUCAUGACGGUACCGUAAGAGUAAGCACCGGCUAACUACGUGCCAGCAGCCGCGGUAAUACGUAGGGUGCGAGCGUUAAUCGGAAUUACUGGGCGUAAAGCGUGCGCAGGCGGUUAUGUAAGACAGAUGUGAACUCCCCGGGCUCAACCUGGGAACUGCAUUAGUGACUGCAUAGCUGGAGUACGGCAGAGGGGGAUGGAAUUCUGCGUGUAGCAGUGAAAUGCGUAGAUAUGCGGAGGAACACCGAUGGCGAGCGCACUCCCCCUGGCCUGUACUGACGCUCAUGCACGAAGCGUGGG
Molecule: ribosomal RNA, 674 nt
Filed under: uncultured Curvibacter sp.
Lineage: Bacteria; Pseudomonadati; Pseudomonadota; Betaproteobacteria; Burkholderiales; Comamonadaceae
Description: bacterial SSU rRNA
Rfam family: Bacterial small subunit ribosomal RNA
Source: RNAcentral